This 1529-nucleotide long non-coding RNA is filed under the name Mus musculus (house mouse). RNAcentral describes it as "long non-coding RNA chr8:117290668-117292197". The record is from RNAcentral. Lineage: Eukaryota; Metazoa; Chordata; Mammalia; Rodentia; Muridae.
CCGCCGCAGCUGCAGAGGUCCUGGCCAAAGCCAACUUGGUUUGGAAGCCCGGCUCCAGCAGCAGCAGCGGAGUCUGGAAAUGAAGCAAAUGAGCGAGUUGUUCUUGGCCAUCUUCCCUCAGCUGGGCUCACAUCAGUGAGCUCUGACCUCAGGCAUCACACAUUUCAAUAUCCUCAGACUCCUGGGGUUCAGAGAUGCUGGGCCCUGAGCAGGACAGGGGACACACUACACUCAGAGUGUGGGAUUUGGGGCAGAGGCAUCUGAGGUGGUGAUAUUCCUUUGGACAUCAGUCCUUGGAGAGGCAGAGAGAACUUUCUGGUCUGCUGGAUCAGGGUCUGUGGUCCCGAGAGUGGGCCCUGGUAUGGCUGUGAAUAGGUGAGAAUGAGAUUAGUGAAUAGUGAGGGUCAGGGGCUGACUCUAGCCACCCUCAUCCCCACAGACCCUCUCUGAACUGUCAGGGAACUAAGAUAUAACUUCCUUAGAAAUGGCAAGCUCCUACAAACGAGGUGGCCUCAACCAGACAGCCUCCACAAACUGGCACCAGAAUUCCUGAGGUCCUGGGAGAACCCAGUUCAAACCUGGGUGGUCAGGGACAAGAACUGCCCUGCGACAGACAGCACUGCCCAAGGCCUCAGCCCCAACCACACAGCCCUGCCCGGUGAAUCACUUUGAAGUGAGGGGUUCCGGACCUGUGGUGGGCUCAGGGAGCCUGUGUGGCGGGAAUGGGCAGGCUGGGUAGCUUGUCCUUCUGGGUUUCCAGGCAGCUCCUCCCUCUCUGAAGAGGAUGCCAGAGCCGCAGCCCCAGGGCCUGGAAACUGGGAUCCCAGCAGGCUGAGUUCUGGUAGCUCUGUGGCUUUGAACUUGCCCCUUGCUUCUCAGAGUCCCAGGUUCACUUAUGUGUGAACUUUCAAGGGGUCCCUGUGAGUGUCAAAGGAGGGAGUCAUUGGAAGUGUUUGGUUUGGUGCCUGACAUGGGACAGGCCUCAGGGCAGCUUUAGGACGCAGCCUGCAUCCCUCAGUGUUUUACUUGGUACGGUGAGAUAGCCUCGACCACACCGGGCAGCCUGCACGGAAUUACUGUCUGUUGUGUAUGGUUUGGUUUGGUUCUGUUCAGGAGGCACUGUUGGGGAGGGGGGGUACCCUGUAAGUCAUGUGAUUUUUUUUUCCCCACACAUGUGUGCGUGCAUGCACUCUCUCAUGUACCAGAGGCCAGCCUCUGAUAUCUUUCUCCUUUGCUGUGUACCUCACUGUUUCAAACAGGGUCUCUUACUCAACCUAGAACUUCCCAGUUCAGGUAGACAGAUUAGCCAGUGAGCCUGAGGGAGUCUUUCUUCCUCCCCAGCAUCGAGAUCCUAGGCCUGUGAUCUCAUGCCUAGCUUUUUGUAUGGGGACUGGGGAUUUGAACCUGGUUUCUCAUGCCUACACCGUCAGCGCCCACGAGCCAUCUCCUCAGGCCUGUUGCUACUUUUGAUGGACUGACUCUAGCCUUGUGAUAAUAUUAAUAAUAUUUAAAUAAACUGGAGGAUAUUC